CAGUAGCCACGGUAAUACGGAGGGCGCGAGCGUUACCCGGAUUUACUGGGCGUAAAGGGCGUGUAGGCGGCCUGGGGCGUCCCAUGUGAAAGGCCACGGCUCAACCGUGGAGGAGCGUGGGAUACGCUCAGGCUAGAGGGUGGGAGAGGGUGGUGGAAUUCCCGGAGUAGCGGUGAAAUGCGCAGAUACCGGGAGGAACGCCGAUGGCGAAGGCAGCCACCUGGUCCACUUCUGACGCUGAGGCGCGAAAACGUGGGGAGCAAACCGGAUUAGAUACCCCUGUAGUCCCUGUCUCUUAUAC
Molecule: ribosomal RNA, 301 nt
Filed under: uncultured bacterium
Lineage: Bacteria
Description: partial 16S ribosomal RNA
Rfam family: Bacterial small subunit ribosomal RNA
Source: RNAcentral